CCAGCUCCAAUAGCGUAUAUUAAAGUUGUUGCAGUUAAAAAGCUCGUAGUUGGAUUUCGGAAGGUCCUUAGUAGUCCGCCCCUUCGGGGAGCGGGCUACUGGCCUCCUAUGUUCCUAACGGUCCUCAUCCGCGAGGGUGGGGAAUCAACCGCUAGGAUCGUUUACUUUGAGGAAAUUAGAGUGUUCAAAGCAGGCGUAACUCGCCUCCGAAUACGUUAGCAUGGGAUAAUGGAAUACGACUUCGGUCUUGUUUCGUUGGUUUCGCUUGGCUGAAGUAAUGAUUGAUAGGGACAGUUGGGGGCAUUAGUAUUUAGUUGUCAGAGGUGAAAUUCUAGGAUUUACUAAAGACUGACCAAUGCGAAAGCAUUUGCCAAGGAUGUUUUCA
This 385-nucleotide ribosomal RNA is filed under the name uncultured Vermamoeba. RNAcentral describes it as "SSU rRNA". It matches the Rfam family "Eukaryotic small subunit ribosomal RNA", at positions 585 to 972 of the family's 1831-position model. The record is from RNAcentral. Lineage: Eukaryota; Tubulinea; Elardia; Euamoebida; Hartmannellidae.